CCUACGGGAGGCAGCAGUGAGGAAUAUUGGUCAAUGGACGAGAGUCUGAACCAGCCAAGUCGCGUGAAGGAUGACUGCCCUCUGGGUUGUAAACUUCUUUUAUAUGGGAAUAAAAUGUUCCACUUGUGGGAUUUUGUAUGUACCAUAUGAAUAAGGAUCGGCUAACUCCGUGCCAGCAGCCGCGGUAAUACGGAGGAUCCGAGCGUUAUCCGGAUUUAUUGGGUGUAAAGGGAGCGUAGGUGGAGUGUUAAGUCAGUUGUGAAAGUUUGCGGCUCAACCGUAAAAUUGCAGUUGAAACUGGCAGUCUUGAGUACAGUAGAGGUGGGCGGAAUUCGUGGUGUAGCGGUGAAAUGCUUAGAUAUCACGAAGAACACCGAUUGCGAAGGCAGUUCACUGGACUGCAACUGACACUGAGGCUCGAAAGUGUGGGUAUCAAACAGGAUUAGAUACCCGAGUAGUC
Molecule: ribosomal RNA, 460 nt
Filed under: uncultured bacterium
Lineage: Bacteria
Description: partial 16S ribosomal RNA
Rfam family: Bacterial small subunit ribosomal RNA
Source: RNAcentral